UAAAGGUUAGUUUAAAAUAAAAAUUCUGGUCUGUGGAACCGGGGAUAACAUUGUUACCUUU
This 61-nucleotide transfer RNA is filed under the name Sakuraeolis japonica. RNAcentral's name for it is "tRNA-His". Lineage: Eukaryota; Metazoa; Mollusca; Gastropoda; Nudibranchia; Glaucidae. The record is from RNAcentral.